This 74-nucleotide transfer RNA is filed under the name Podarcis lilfordi (Lilford's wall lizard). RNAcentral describes it as "tRNA.Lys". The stretch from base 9 to 66 matches the Rfam family "tRNA", at positions 8 to 63 of the family's 71-position model. Rfam says of the family: Transfer RNA (tRNA) molecules are approximately 80 nucleotides in length. The record is from RNAcentral. Lineage: Eukaryota; Metazoa; Chordata; Lepidosauria; Squamata; Lacertidae.
ACCUGGGAUAGCUCAGUCGGUAGAGCAUGAGACUCUUAAUCUCAGGGCUGUGGGUUCGAGCCCCACAUUGGGUA